AUUGAACGCUGGCGGCAUGCCUUACACAUGCAAGUCGAACGGUAACGGGCCUUCGGGUGCCGACGAGUGGCGAACGGGUGAGUAAUACAUCGGAACGUGCCCGAUCGUGGGGGAUAACGAGGCGAAAGCUUUGCUAAUACCGCAUACGAUCUACGGAUGAAAGCCGGGGACCGCAAGGCCUUGCGCGGACGGAGCGGCCGAUGGCAGAUUAGGUAGUUGGUGGGAUAAAAGCUUACCAAGCCGACGAUCUGUAGCUGGUCUGAGAGGAUGAUCAGCCACACUGGGACUGGGACACGGCCCAGACUCCUACGGGAGGCAGCAGUGGGGAAUUUUGGACAAUGGGCGCAAGCCUGAUCCAGCCAUGCCGCGUGCAGGAUGAAGGCCUUCGGGUUGUAAACUGCUUUUGUACGGAACGAAAAGCCUUCUUUUAAUACAGGAGGGUCAUGACGGUACCGUAAGAAUAAGCACCGGCUAACUACGUG
Molecule: ribosomal RNA, 482 nt
Filed under: uncultured bacterium
Lineage: Bacteria
Description: partial 16S ribosomal RNA
Rfam family: Bacterial small subunit ribosomal RNA
Source: RNAcentral